Knufia fluminis is the source of this 138-nucleotide non-coding RNA. The record is from the annotation of a GenBank genome assembly. NCBI's taxonomy places the organism in Eukaryota, Fungi, Ascomycota, Eurotiomycetes, Chaetothyriales, Trichomeriaceae.
GUCUCAGAUGGCCGAGUGGUUGUAAGUUUACCUACCUUCCAGGCUUCCAGCCCCCUCUCUAACAAAUUCGAUAGAAGGCGUGUGACUAGAAAUCACAUGGGUUCGCCCGCACAGGUUCAAGUCCUGUUGGUGUCGACA